This 554-nucleotide small RNA is filed under the name Pongo abelii (Sumatran orangutan). Its description in RNAcentral is "processed transcript". The record is from RNAcentral. Lineage: Eukaryota; Metazoa; Chordata; Mammalia; Primates; Hominidae.
AAGCAGCGGGCGCUGGGCCUGGGAAUCACAGGUCAGUGGGCGGAACAAGGAUGUGUCCAGUCCGGCUGACCAGGCCCUUCCCCAGGGUCCCCAGCUCAGCUCCUGCCUUGAUGCCCACAUUCACCAAACGUGGCCUCGGCUUUAGUUCCGAAGUCCAGGUGGCCUCCUGGCACCUUGGAAGGCAUUAGAAAGGUUACAUGAUUCGCCGGGAAGUCAACAGCUGGCCCCACAUUUUCCUUAUAAAACUUUUUUAGAGGGAAAGUAGCUGGGAGGUUGGUGGCGUGCGGCUUGGCUAGCGAUCCCCAAGCAUUCAGUCGUGCUGGGCACAGGUCCCUUAGGCAGCCCCCGGCUCCUGCAGGGCGUGGGCCAGCCUGCCUGCUCACCAGCACGUUGUCCACUGGGCUCAUUUGUCCUUUGGCACCGAGGUUCUUCCCUGGAGACUCUGCCGGCCUUUUCCCCACCAGCCCCAGCUUGGCCAUCCCUCACCCGAGUGUCGGAGGCUCUCCAGCGUCUCUGUUCAUCCCCAGUCCGCCCAGCUUCCUGCCCCUCGCCAA